AAACAGGCACGCUGGGCGCGGCCACUGGCUACUGGCCCCGACGGCUUCAGCGAGGGCCACUGCGCAUGCGAGGGACAGAGCAGGACCCUGCCGCCGGCUGGGUAAAGGACUGAGAGAGUGGUUGUCGGAGGAACUGGUGACUGAUUGGGGGAAACUCCAGGCGGAGCUCGCCAGAAUCCAGGGGGAAACAGGAAGAGUAGGGGAUGGAGGGCGGACGGUUCGCUCAGAGCGGCGGGGAGACAGCGCGGGUCUGCGGGCGGAGCGGCACGUGCGAGUGCGGGCUGUGUAAAGACGCGACGUCGCCGGCUUUGCUUUUCUAGGCCACUGCCCACUCUCCAUAAGGCAGACAUGACUAAUUUCCAGAUCGAGUAGAAGGAUGCGAUGACGGAGAUCAGUGUCAUUUGAGGAUGUAGCUGUGGACCUCACCCAGGAGGAGUGGAAUCAUCUGGAAUCUUCUCAGAGGAUACUUUACAGAGCUGUGAUGCUAGAGAGCUAUAGCCAUUUGGUCUCUGUGGGGUGUCCUGUUACCAAACCAGAUGUGAUCACCUGUUUGGAGAAGAGAAGACUUCAGAUCAUAGAGAAAUUCCGAGUUUGAGUUAUACAGGUAAAUAAGAAACGGACAGAUGGAGAUGAUGAGUAAGACCCCAGUGGAAGUCUGGCAAGUUGACCAGCUGGAGAGGCACCAGAAAAACCAAAAUAGACACUGGAGGCAAACUACGUCCAUUAGAGAGAAAGAUGUGACUAAGGAGUAAGGUCGUGAAAGAAUAGAUUUGUAAAUCCACUUCCUCAAAGGACAUGGGUGGUUUCUGCAUUACACAUACCCUAUAUACAGGACUCCUAUGGAAUAAGUUUUUUUUAAAGAU
Molecule: long non-coding RNA, 863 nt
Organism: Lontra canadensis (Northern American river otter)
Lineage: Eukaryota; Metazoa; Chordata; Mammalia; Carnivora; Mustelidae
Exons: 5
Source: RefSeq, a predicted model, not a curated record